This 262-nucleotide ribosomal RNA is filed under the name uncultured archaeon. Its description in RNAcentral is "partial 16S ribosomal RNA". It matches the Rfam family "Archaeal small subunit ribosomal RNA", at positions 748 to 1009 of the family's 1478-position model. The record is from RNAcentral.
CAGCCGUAAACGAUGCGCGUUAGGUGUAUCGACGACCACGAGUCGUCGAGGUGCCGAAGGGAAACCGUGAAACGUGCCGCCUGGGAAGUACGGUCACAAGGCUGAAACUUAAAGGAAUUGGCGGGGGAGCACCACAACAGGUGGAGCCUGCGGUUUAAUUUGGACUCAACGCCGGACAACUCACCGGGACGACAGCAAUAUGUAGGCCAGGCUGAAGACCUUGCCUGAAUCGCUGAGAGGAGGUGCAUGGCGUAGAACGUCU